UCCUUUUCCAAGCAUGCACCACACUGGUAUUGGCUUGCUUACCUGGAGCUAUCCUUUUCCAAGCAUGCACCACACUGGUAUUGGCUUGCUUACCUGGAGCUUGGAGGUGCCACCUGCAAAAUAACAGAAAGGGCGCUGUGAAUGGGUUCGAUGGGUUCCCUCUCUAAUGCUUAAGCCAUAACUUGUGUUGGGAACUUGUGGAUCAAUAGAUGCAAAGUAGGCAAAAAGGGGAGUUAAGGAGAAUAAAUGAAGUUGAAGAAAGGAAUAAGUGCACAGCUUGGAGGAUGACUUUGUCCCUCACUCGACCGCAUGGAUAUCCAUGGUCCAUGUCGGUCAGUCACCGAGAGAAUUGUUAUUGAGGUAUCAU
This 367-nucleotide long non-coding RNA is filed under the name Musa acuminata (dwarf banana). RNAcentral describes it as "long non-coding RNA (MACU_LNC001465)". The record is from RNAcentral. Lineage: Eukaryota; Viridiplantae; Streptophyta; Magnoliopsida; Zingiberales; Musaceae.